CGGCGCACGCGCGGAGGCCCGGCGGCGGCCAUGGCGUCGGGGUGCCGGAUCGGGCCGUCCAUCCUCAACAGCGACCUGGCGGCGCUGGGCGCCGAGUGCAGCCGCAUGCUGGACUGCGGGGCUGAUUACCUGCACCUGGAUGUAAUGGACGGGCACUUCGUGCCGAACAUCACCUUCGGGCACCCCGUGGUGGAGAGCCUGCGCAAGCGGCUGGGCCGGGAGCCCUUCUUCGACGUGCACAUGAUGGUGGCCCGGCCCGAGCAGUGGGUGCAGCCCAUGGCCGUGGCUGGCGCCAACCAGUACACCUUCCACCUGGAGGCCACCGACGGCCCCGGCGCGCUCAUUAAGGACAUCCGCGAGAACGGCAUGAAGGUGGGGCUGGCCAUCAAACCCGGCACCGCGGUGGAGCAGCUGGCGCCGUUGGCCAACCAGAUCGACGUGGCCCUGGUGAUGACGGUGGAGCCGGGCUUCGGAGGGCAGAAGUUCAUGGAGGACAUGAUGCCGAAGGUGCAGUGGCUGAGGACGCAGUUCCCGUCGCUGGACAUCGAGGUGGACGGAGGAGUCGGGCCUGACACCAUCCACAAGUGUGCCGAGCUGCUCAGAUGUUCCUGACACUGAUUGAGAUUUGGAAUUAGAUAAACAGCUAUUGUUCCAUCGUUUGAGAGCAACAUUAUGAUGGUUAUAGUCUACAACAGAAAAAGCAAAUAUCAAGUGAACUUAUUCUCCAUGGCUGCAGUUCCAGGCAAUGCUGGUGAACUAUUUACAGCGGAAAAGGCAAACUUCAGGAAGACUACUGUAGCUACGGACAGAAUGACUAAAAUCUUCCAACGACCUCAAAACCACUGCCUUCUAAAAUCGCCCCAGAAGAAAGGCAGGUUAUUUGAUUUUCUAAAUGGAUGGACUCAGAGCUCCAGAGCCACUACUUCUAUGCAUACAAGGAUGCAGCAGACACAACAGAGAAGGCCAGGAAACCUGCCCUUGGGACCCAUGCCAUCUUAAAGUCUGAUUCUGGGCAUGUUGGAGUAAAUCCCAUCAAGUGAGGUCGAAUAUAUUCUGAAAUAACACUUGCAUCCCUCGAAUGAAAACAGAAGGUAACAUAGAGCAAGUUUUUCUAUGAUUCCCUGCACACAAUUCUCCUCCCACAUGCAGUGAGGGGAGCCAAGAAUCCAGGGAAUGGAAUUCAUGAAAAAGCAAUGCCUAAAACUUGUUAAAAUCAGCACCUAUGAAUUCACACGUCUUUAAAGGUCGUCACACUAAUCUUUUAUGCAAAUAAGACAUUUCCCUUACUCAUAUAACAAAAAGGUCUUAAAAACUAGAAACAGUUAGGGUUUUGUGGCUAAGAGCAAUGGAGAACAGCACUGCUGGCAGACUCUCUUCCUCCCUUUCUCAAAACCUGAAUUCGGUUCUCUUAUCAGCUUUGAAAUGAAAUUACAGCUCAGAGUGGAAAAUUAGGACUUCUUGCAAAAACGAACAGUUUCUCCUCAUAAUGUGGCUGAAAGAUGGGCAAAAAGCCCCAGCCCCCAAGCAGUGCCUUCUGUUGUGAGGCCUGCAGAACUGCACUGACAUUGCUCAAUUAGCCAUGAGAAAAACUGCUAGGAAAACUGGAAAAUAAUCUAGAACAAACAGAUCCGAACUGCAGAUACUAAUCAUAAUAUUUUCUUCCUUCUUCUAUUCUCUCCGCCUUAUUGCUUCCCUCCCUGCCAAGUAUUUAUACUAAAAGCAGAUUUCUAAUCUUUCUCUUCCCAACUAGAAAUCUAAGGGAGAAAAAAAAGACUAAGUCUUUUUUUUUUUCCCUUCAUAUCUCUUCACAUUCAUUAUAAAAGAUUCCAGGCACAAUAAAGCCCACGGGCAUGGAAAAAUACAGCAGCGCUUCAAAUACUACUUCGUCAGGCAUGAGGUUGCUGGAAGAUAAUCAGUAAAAUGUGUCUUUCAAAGUUCAGAGGAAAAGCAUGAAAAUAUUUCUGAAGGAAAAAAUCCCACCAAGUGAUGCAAAAGGGUUUCAUUCAGAUGGGGGAAGGAGGAUUGGAGAAACAGGGCCCAGGACUUGUCGCAAGUAGGCAGAUAGCAACUUGUUUUGCACACAAGUUCUGUUGUAAGAAGCCUUUCUCUCUAAUCAAUUAGGUACAGACGUUGCUAUUUGAUGAAGUGAGCAGCUGUGUCUUUAAAGAAAGCCAGUGAUAGAUCUUCUGAUUUUGGAAGAUCACUCAGUGCAUUUGGAAGGAAAAAAAAAAAACAACAGUCAGUACUGUGAAAGUGUAAAAGUUUCCCAAAUAACCACAUCUGGCUUUUUUGUGGUAUGUUGUGAACAGUCAGAACCUCUAGGCACAUCAGGAACGCACAGGAAAUACAAUAAGGAUGCAAGGCUGCCCCAGAAAGAAAUGUUACCUAGCUCCCUGAGCAGAGGUGUGCUGUUGAAAAUACUUGAAGUUGACAUCCCCCCAAAAGUCAUCCCAUUUGACAUUAUUUCUACAGGUAAUCUUUCAUCUUCAUGAACCUCAAAGGAAGACCAAGCAGUUCCAACUGGAAUGCAGUGUUGUCUGCACUGCACUUCAGGUGAUGCAUGUGGGCAGUGAAUUCCCAAGGGAACUGCUGACACCCAGCUCUGUGACAUCUCAGUGGGUCCUGCAUUCACUUUGGUACUUUGGUUAUCAUACCUAACACAGAGACAGUGACUGGCACCUGAGUUCUGUCUUAAUUAAAGCAGGAAGAAGUACCACCAUAUAUCUUCAACAUAGCAUCUCGAGGGACUUCUCACCCUCGAGGAAGGAAUGGUACAAGAAAAUACUAGAGGAUGCUUAUGAAAGUUUGCUACACUGCCAAAGAAACCUUUCACAAAAGCUGUGAUGAGCUGAAGACAUUGCUGAGCUGUACACCAGAAGCAAGAUGUCAGAACUCCUGCAAUGAGCCAACCAUUCCUUCACGCUUCUCCUUGACAAAUACUCAAAGAACAAAUGUGUUUUGAUGAAGAAAUGGAACAGGGCUUUUCGAUUACUCUAGAAAUCAGAGCACAGUGACUCGCCAACCAAAACAGCUCUCUGCCCAUGAGCACACUGAAGAUCCCUAGUCUGAGGACAGCACCUGUGUAAUGCACAGGGGAUGAACAAUGGUGUAAGUAUCCUGUAACAGCUAUUUGCAACUGAACAACAUGGGUACUGAAAUAGAUGGAUAAAGAGAAUCUGACUUGAGUCACAGAGCAUUGAGAUACAGCUCAGAAGAGCUUAUGUCAACACUCACUGGACAAAACUCUUUCCAGGAUAAUGGGAAUGAACGUGUUCAAAGAGCUAAAAGUAGCUCCAGAUUUUUUUCUUAUCGUGAAAAACUGGGGCUGGAAUCAGAUCUUCCCCCUCCUGUAAUGGAAGCAGGCUGGGCUCAGAUAAACCUAUGAAUGGGAAGCUCCUCCCCCCUUGCACACUGGGUUGAUGUAGCAAGCUACGAAGGAUGCAGCUAAGGCCAGCCACUUGCACGUUCAUUUCCUCGAGUUAAGUGCAAUCCAUAUUUUGUGAUACAGGUGGAACCCAAAGAUUUUCCCCAUUCACAGUGCACUAGUAGGGCCUUUUAACAUCUAGAAUAUUACGGGAGGAGGAGUGCUUCCACAACAGUGAAAGUCUUCACUAUGAGAAAUAACAGUGCAAAGCGAGGAAAUGAGCAUUCUCUCACCAUAUAAUCACAUUAUUUCUGGAAAGCACUAAGAACCAAUUCCCUGGGAGAGAAAAGCAUUUCAAAGCAACAUAAAUCCACUUAGCAAAAAUAAAAAUGGAAGCUAACUUUGUUUUGUUUUCUUGUCCAGCUGAAAGGCAAUCUAGAGAAUCUUAAAGAGGUAAUGCAGAAAUAAAAGCAAAUCUCAGCAGCCGCCCAGCUGAACAACUGACAGACCUUUGCCACCCAAAGGAAGUGCAGUCUCUAGCCACUAAGACAAAUCUUUCGGAAGAUGGAGAACAAAGAAAGCCAUCCCAAGCAUAAGAUAGUGAUAAGUUCAGAUGAGAUACAGCCCAUCCCCAGUGCAGUGUUAAUUCAGGCACUGACUCAACCUAUGCACACAGACAAAAGUCUCCAGCUUAAAUUAGGUGGUGCUUUAACUCUGCACUUGCUGGUCCAGCAGCACAGUUCAAACGCAGUGACUUUCAUGCUGGCAAGGCAGCAAAGCCUCUGCUAACACACACUACCAACAAGCCAUCGCUGCUGCUUGACUGCUUUUAACCAUAAGAACAUAAAAAAGAGAGGGGGGGAAAAGAAAGGAGUUUGCACUGAGUAAGAGACACCUAGCAGGUCUCCUGCCUCCUAGCAGCAGCCAAGGUAACAGUCUUGCAACGGGGCAACACAGAGCUAAGUUUCUCCAGAAUAUUCCCCCGCCUUCCAGGCAGCCUGGGGAUUUCCCAAGCCAAAGGUGGUGCUGUGUCCUCAAUAAUGCUCUGUGGACUUUUCUGUUAGCACAACAAAACAAACUGAAUAACCCCUACAUGGAAAGAUAACUUCACUAAUUUGAAGGCUACAAGAAGAAAUAAAGCUGGAGGACUGGCAGUAUGACAAACUGGACUGUCCCUUGCAAGAGGAAAAGAGACAACCCUCACACCGAACUUCAAUCCAAGUUUCAGAUUAUCAGCUACCCUCAGAGAAUCAGAAUUUCACAUCAAUUUUCCCUGCUCAGUUCAUGUAAGAACAAGAUAAGAAUCCUGGAGGGAAAGGUGUUACUCAGAAGUUCAAACGUAUCAGCCAGGAGAGGAACGUUCCAUCUCCAACACUGUUAGGAGCUAGAGAUGCUGGUUCUUCAUUAGAAUAUUUCAAAAGGAGAAAAGUAUUUUUGCAGACUAAAAUAUUUGAGUUGAUGGUAACAGCUGGCAACACAUAAUGCUCUGGGCUGGUCUCUGAUGUGGUGUUUACCAUUCUGACAAUAUGCAAAAGAAAAUGAAAAACUCUCCUCCUGUUUUCCAGCUCUACAGAGUUCAACCAACUGCAGCAGUGAUUUGACAGAACCACGUUGCACUCAAGCUUUCAUAACAGAAGCUGUAAACACAUAACAUGGCACAGCUGUUUAAUGGAAGAUGAGGCUUCCUUGACUUGUUCUGAACACUGUGCUGUUGAAGAAAGAGACUACGAUUUGUGUUUGUUUUUUUUUUAAUAUUUAUUUUUCCAUC
Molecule: RNA transcript, 5132 nt
Organism: Tympanuchus pallidicinctus (lesser prairie-chicken)
Lineage: Eukaryota; Metazoa; Chordata; Aves; Galliformes; Phasianidae
Gene: RPE
Gene name: ribulose-5-phosphate-3-epimerase
Exons: 10
Source: RefSeq, a predicted model, not a curated record